ACACAACAUAUAAGAUCUCCUAAACCUGUGUUAAAGAAGCAUUAUGUCGAAUUGUUGCAUUAUAAUAUAUCUGCAGUAUAGUAGAAUGAUAGUGUUUAACAUACAUAUAUAUAUAUAUUGCUUCGGGCUCUUACAAAACACUCCAUACAGAACCAAUCAGUCGAUAUAAUGUACAAGUAUCAUCAGAAAUCACGCGAUGUGAGUCACACAGUGGGGCGGUGCCUGUCCAAAUCGUUGGUCAGAAGAUUCAAAUCAACGUUUUAUGUCAUAAUUUCCGAGUAGGCAAACAGCGUCAACCACAACUGUUAUUACACCCCGUUUACGUUGGUGGCGGUAAUGACCAUUUUUAUUGUGCUGUAACUAAAACUAGAAGAUUUGACGUCCUUUCCCUUCGCCAAAGGCAGCACCCAGUUGGACGUGGAAGUUUGGGACCCGUCAGAUAAAGGAGACCCUCACGGACAAGAGGACGUUGUUCCUGACCUGGCAGUAGAGAUGCGUGGAAACUCUGGCAGAACAGGAGUCUGACAUGAUGUCCCCGGCAAUCACCGACGAAAGGAACGCUCAGUUGACUUUUUCGGCUUGAGAAGUCAACUGCUUUUUUAGGAUGCUGUCUUCAUAUUUGUCCCACUGUAUUGGGGCUAGUCGAUAAAGGUUCUAAACCUUUUAACAUAAAUGUUCACGUUUCAGCCUGGAGGAAAGGUUGAAGGCCAUGGAGAAGAGAAGCUGGUCUCUUCAACACUGUGCAGCAAUUUUGGAAAGCCCGCAGACUAAGAAAACUCACUGUCUGCUGGCUACAAUCCAUAGGCUGGUCCUGUAGCGCUCUUUCUAUUGUGGCCAGGUACUGCAGCCAAUUCAGUGUUGUUGAACACUGCAUCAAACCCUGGCAUAUCACUGCUGUUGUUAUCUACGUCUCAUUCACCCAGGUGUUUUGAACUAUAUGAAAGAUUUCAAACGUCAAGAUUUUCAUUACCAUUUCUAAAAAAUAGUUUUUCAGAUGGACAAACCAUUGCUGUGCGGCUCUCCAGAAGAAUCGAGCGGACAUCGGAGAGAAUUAAACGGCAGACAAUGGGAGGAACUGGAGUACGUGGAUGUUCUCCAGCAAGACCAUCCAGUCUGGUCCCAGGUGUCCAACAGCUUGGGGGACAGUCUGCUCCGGGCAAAGCAGCGUGCAGUGAUGCUGCAUAACAUGUGCCGUAGGAGAGGCACACAAUACAGGCAUAUCUACACAAUGGACUUUUUGUAUUGCCAGCAAGAGCUGGGGCUUUUUUAAAGAUGCAGAACAUAUCAAAUGCAGAACAUAGUAAAGCUCUAGCAAGCAUUUUCAAGGUUGGCUGUUGAUGGCUUAGUCAGCACAGAUGUAAAAGAGGACAGUGGAUCGGAGAACAGUGAUUCAGAGGAUGAAAGUGGUUGAGGAAUGAAUGUCUGUCUAUGCGUGAGUUUUAUAGGGCAAACUAUACUCUGAGUAUUUCUCACAUUAGGAACACACUUCCUAAUAUUGAGUUGCACCCCCCCCAGCCCCCCUUUUCCCCUCAGAACAGCCUCAAAUCGUCGGGUAAUGGACCUGUACCCCCGCACAUUGACUCGGUACCGGUACCCCCUGUAUAUAGCCUUGUUAUCGUUAUUUAAUUGUUACUUUUUUAAACUUUAUUUAGUAAAUUUUCUUAACUCUAUUUUCUUAACUGCAUUGUUGUAUAAGGGCUUGUAAGUAAGUAUUUCAUGGGCAAGUUUACACCUGUUGUAUUCGGUGCAUGUGACAAAUACAAUUUGAUUUGACUACAAUGUGUCGAAGCGUUCCACAGGGAUGCUGGCCCAUGUUGACUCCAAUGCUUCCAACAGUUGAGUGAAGUUGUCUGGAUGUCCUUUGGGUGGUGGACCGUUCUUGACACACAUGUGAAACUGUUGAGUGUGAAAAACCCAGCAGCGUUGCAGUUCUUGACACAACGGUGCGCCUGGCACCUACUACCAUACGCCGUUCAAAGUAAUUUAAAUCAUUUGUCUUGCCCAUUCACCCUUCUGAAGGGCACACAAUCCAUGUCUCAAUGCUUAAAAAUGAUUAUUUAACCUGUCUCCUCCCCUUCAUCUCCACUGAUUUAAAUGUAUUUAACAAGUGACAUCAAUAAGGGAUCAUAUCUUUCACCUGGAUUCACCUGGUCAGUCUAUGUAAUGGAAAGAGCAGGUGUCCUUAAUGUUUAUUACACUCAGUGUAUAUGUUUGUCAUACUUGGGACAAAUAGGAUGUUAUGCAGAAAAAUAUGUUGGUUAGACAAGGCUAUGUAUGUUUGUGCACAUGGAAGUCAGUGAUUUAUGUUUACUAUACUGUAGGUUAAUUAGGCAAUACAAAUGUGAUGUGACCAAAAUAUGGAUAAAUUGAAAGGGCAGGGACGAGAUUCACAAAACCUUUAGACAUUUCUUAACUGCCAUUUUUUUCUUAACUAUAGUCUUAUGAAGAAAGUUCUAUAACUCAAAAAGGUUAUUGAAAAUGUUAUUGUGCAAUUUCUUAUGUUUCUCAUUAAGCAUAAAGUUGGGAAGUAAUUAGAUUCUUGAAAAUGAAUUUGUUCUUAAUUCCAAAAUGGCUAAACCCUUGUAUUAAACUCAGUGAGAGAAUACGCUCAUGAAA
Molecule: long non-coding RNA, 2616 nt
Organism: Salvelinus fontinalis (brook trout)
Lineage: Eukaryota; Metazoa; Chordata; Actinopteri; Salmoniformes; Salmonidae
Exons: 3
Source: RefSeq, a predicted model, not a curated record